CGCGGUUUGGCAAGAUGCAGCGGUGCCUUGACACUUGCUCAAUGGCAUCCACCACUGUCAUGUUCUUGUAAAUCAUCAGCAUUCCAGCUUCCUGACGACAUCUUGUCCAUGAAGUAGCGCUCUCAGGAUGUGCAAGAAACUGGAAUGCAACCAAAACAGAAUGUUAACCCAAGGAAGCACAAAAUUUUGCUUCCUACCUGUUGUCAGCUCUGAAAAAGGAGUGGAACUGUGAUAUCAUCAGAAGUUUUUUCCCAAGAUGCCAAAGGAAGAAAACUACCUAUCAGCGCUGAGCCUUUCACGAGGAUUC
Molecule: long non-coding RNA, 307 nt
Organism: Pyrgilauda ruficollis (rufous-necked snowfinch)
Lineage: Eukaryota; Metazoa; Chordata; Aves; Passeriformes; Passeridae
Exons: 3
Source: RefSeq, a predicted model, not a curated record